GUAUACAGCCAUACUACCCUGAAUGUGCUUGAUCUCCUCUGACUUUGGAAGCUAACCAUAAUUGGGGCUGGUUAGUACUUGGAUGGGAGACAACACUGUGAAAAUGUAGCCUACGUUUUACA
RNAcentral lists this ribosomal RNA (122 nucleotides) under Cercocebus atys (sooty mangabey). Lineage: Eukaryota; Metazoa; Chordata; Mammalia; Primates; Cercopithecidae. The record is from RNAcentral.